Molecule: ribosomal RNA, 36 nt
Filed under: Roseobacter sp. LE17
Lineage: Bacteria; Pseudomonadati; Pseudomonadota; Alphaproteobacteria; Rhodobacterales; Roseobacteraceae
Description: partial 16S ribosomal RNA
Source: RNAcentral
AGCCGUAGGGGAACCUGCGGCUGGAUCACCUCCUUU